CAGGUGACACUGUUUGAAGCCCUCUGUCUCUUGACUUGACAAUAACAAGUUAUCGACGCUGCGAGUAAGCUUUAUUUGUCGAACAAAAAUAAGCUAGUAGUAUUUGCACGUGAUUGGGCAAAUUAGUCAAGACGGGCGCUCUUUGCUGCGUGGCCGCUAGGCCACAUGGGACAAAGUCUAAUCCUGCUAGCAGAGACUGUUCCAUGGAUCCUACAGAGCCUCGUUGGCGGAUGAAUUCGAGCUUCUCUCCUCCGUCGCGGGGAUGGGACUGCAUGUACUCAUCAGACGGAUUGCCUCAUAGGACUCCUGAUGCUCCACAUGAUCAUCCACCUUAUGUGUCAUCACUAUCAUCACAUAGUAAAGGAAGUAGAAGUGCAUUUGGCAGUGACCAGUACCUGAAUCACCACCACUCUGUAUCUGAUGGAGCACUUUCUUAUUUUGGUAGUCCUGUUGACAGCCUUCAGGCUCCACGUUGGACACCCUCUCUGCAAAGAUUUGAUCUUGGCGAGUUCUCUACACCUGGAGGAGGACCGAAACCUGAAAGUUCCGAUCUCCAAUCCAGCGAGAGACAUUUAACUGCUGUGAGCAGUUUCAGUUCUGCAUCCCCAUUCUCGGAAACAAGUCAGCUGGCAGCUUCUGGUAAACGACCAGCUUCACAUCUACCUCGCAAUCAUCUGGGAAGGCGAUCCUUUAUGUCAACACCAGUCUACCCGCUAGUCUUCCGCAAUCCAGUGUCAGAAGCAGAAGCCUCAGGGGUGGCUGAGGCUAGUAAUGCUGGGCGUACCACACCGAGUGAUGACAGCCUGGCUUCUCCUGUGUGGAGGCGCAGUUUGGCGAGUCCUGAGCUCAAGUUCCAUGACACACUGAGUGAACUUCGGAAGAUGGAGGCUUCUCCUGAGCCUAACACGAGCUCUAGGAGGGAAGGAUUCAGAUGGAGCAGUGCUAGCAGCUAUGAUUUUAGAUAUGAUGGUGAUGCCAUUGACAUUUCAGACCAUAUCAGUAUUGACUCCCAAAGAUCCCCAACAAGUUCAACGAGUUUCCUGAAAUGUGGCUUAUGCGAGAGAUUCCUCAGGCAGAAGUCGCCAUGGAGCUCAAACCGGAUAGUUCGAAAUACCAAUAUGCCAGUAGCAGCAGUCCUCCCAUGCCGUCAUGUCUUCCACGCAGACUGCCUGGAGGAAAGUACUCCGAGGAGUGAAGCCCAUGAACCACCUUGCCCGCUGUGCACGCGAGCUCCCGAUAGUGAAGGAUGUGUAUCAUUCUCGGAGCCUCUUCACGCCGCGCUCAGAUCCGCUCGCAGGAAUCAUGGCAUUCGUUUUUCUUCUGGUGAUGCGGGUGGUAGCAGCAGCAGCGCAAACCCUUCUCGCAACGACCACGUGUUGAAGAGAAAUCAGUCUGCGCUCGCGCCUGCGCGCAGCGGCUCGCUGUUCCGGAACCGUUUCAAGAAGCAGUUCCCCUUCAAGGGGAGGCUCGGGAAGGACCUCUUUGGUGGCAGGGUUUUCAGGAAGGUCGGCUCGUCGUCGUCUUCGGGGGGCCAAAAGGACGACCGUCAGCUGCCAGCAGCUAAUAAGCCUGACCGAUCCAUGGAGUAAGUAAGCUAGAGCGAAGGCGCGCCUCUAUAUUGUUCGCCGCCGUUACUCUACCCUUGUACCGUGUCCAAAUCCGUAGUAGAUGUAUCCAUAAACAUGAAAUGCAGUGCCAGUGCGCUGCGAGUACUCAGUCCAGGACGGAGCUUGUUUGUUUUGUUUGGACGGUGCCUGCCUUGGAUGUGGCACCAUGAGUGCGUGAACUAACUGUGCUGUGCUUUCAUCAUGACUCGUUUUGCCGCCUGUUGUUUUGUUUGGAGCAUGCUAUAUUGAAAACCGGCAGGUCCGGCUCUGGAGUAUUGACAGACGAGAACAGCUAUCGUUUGCCAUUGUUGUGCUUUGUUUCCCGUGGCCGUGGGUGUCCAUGUUUAAUAGCUGGUGCACAUGCAUUCCAUCGUUGAACGGUUUACAUCUUUGUGGCAAGUUGGUGGUGGCAUCAAGUUCUGGGGUGAAAACCCGAAGUCUGGCUUUCAUUGGUUGUACCGAACGUCUAGUCUGCUCGGACUCUCUUCCCUGAGUGAAAAUCCAUGAUCUGAUUCAUAUGGUUGGAUCUGACGGCGAUGGUGUUCAUGCACCGAUAUCUCCCUAGAGGUGUCACAGUUUGGGAUCUUGUGGUAAUGGUGCUGCCUACGGCGGUGGUAGUUGUUAAUGUUAAUGUUGCAAUAGGUUGUUCGUCUCGCCUUGACCUUUUCAGGUUGUUCCUUUUCCUUCUCAAUGUGUGCAGUCUUGAUUACUUGAGUAGCUCUGGAUAUCCUGUUGUUGCAAAAGUAAGAUUUAAUUUGUACUCGUAUCAACUUUUGAUAUUAAUAUAUUAUUU
RNAcentral lists this ribosomal RNA (2400 nucleotides) under Triticum aestivum (bread wheat). Its description in RNAcentral is "partial small subunit ribosomal RNA". Lineage: Eukaryota; Viridiplantae; Streptophyta; Magnoliopsida; Poales; Poaceae. The record is from RNAcentral.